This 1307-nucleotide long non-coding RNA is filed under the name Piliocolobus tephrosceles (Ugandan red Colobus). Its description in RNAcentral is "lncRNA (ENSPTEG00000009796.1)". The record is from RNAcentral. Lineage: Eukaryota; Metazoa; Chordata; Mammalia; Primates; Cercopithecidae.
CAAAAAAAAGCAAAAAAAAGCAAAAAAAAGCAAAAAAAAUCAAAAAAAGGCAAAAAAAAGCAAAAAAAAGCAAAAAAAAGCAAAAAAAAGCAAAAAAAUGAAAAAAAUGAACAAAAUGAGCAAAAUGAACAAAAUGAACAAAGUGAACAAUAUGGAUGAGGAUAAAAUCCAAUAUAACAGAACUUGCGACUUUCCUAUAAACGAUAAAAGAGAGAUGAAUGAUAAUAACAGUAGUGGUAGUGAUAGUGAUAAUGGUAGUGGUAAUGGUAGCAGUGUCGAUAAUGAAGAAAAAGGUAUGAGUAGCAACGAAGAUAUUGAAACGAACUCUUAUCUGAAUUUAACAAGUGCUAAGAUAAAAAAGAGUGCGGAUAAAAGUUACGUUUUAAAUAGUAAGGAUAGUAAUAAAAAAAAUGGUAAUAAUAAAGAUAAUGACAGUAGCAAUGGUGAUAGUGAUGAAGAUGACGUGAGCUUAGAUAACAUUAAUGAUAGUUUAUUAGAAUCCAUAGAUUUAAGUGUAGUUGAUUCUAAGUUUGAUGCAAAGGAUGAUUAUUUAUGUGACAAUUUUCCAAAAAAUAACGUUUCGAAUUUUAGUAAUUUCAGUAAUUAUAGUAAUUUAUCGAAAGAAAAUAUAAGUAGCAAUUAUUUAAACAAAUUUUUAAAUAAAAAUGGUAUAAAUUUUAUGAAUAAAAACAAGGACAUCAACCUAACUGAUAUAAACAACAAUAACAAUUUGGCUAAUUCUGUUACUAAUAUGAACUUAAAAAAAAAUUUUUAUAACAACAAAAAGGAAGUGGAAAGAGAUUUAUUUUUAGAACAAGUAAAAAUGCUAAACACGAAUGAAGAUAACAAUAACAGUAGUAGUAUGAAUAAUUCCAAAAAAAAUGUUUAUACAACAGAUACAAUUAGCUGUAGCAAUAUUAAUAAUAACAACAUUAUAAAUGAUAUUUAUGAGAAGCAUAUGAUAGAAACUGAUUUAAGUGAUUCAACUGAUUUUGAAAACAUGGUAAGUGACUUAAGAAUAACUUUUAUAAACUGGCUUAAAAAAACACAAAUGAAUUUUAUACGUGAAAAGGAUAAAAUAUUUAAAGAUAAAAAAGAGUUAGAACUGGAACGAAUACGAUUAUAUAAUGAAAUUGAAAAUAAAAAAAUAAUGGAAGAACAAAAAAUAAAAGAAGAAAGAAAAAAAUUAGAUAUGGAUAUAUCUAACGGGUAUAAACAAAUAAAAAAAGAAAAAGAAGAACAUAGAAAAAGGUUUGAUGAAGAAAGGUUAAGAUUCUUACAAGAAAUAGAUAAACUAAAAUUAGUCU